Molecule: RNA transcript, 1616 nt
Organism: Cryptomeria japonica (Japanese cedar)
Lineage: Eukaryota; Viridiplantae; Streptophyta; Pinopsida; Cupressales; Cupressaceae
Gene name: geranylgeranyl transferase type-2 subunit alpha 1
Exons: 6
Source: RefSeq, a predicted model, not a curated record
GGUGUUGUUUGUUUGCGGUGUGCAGGGCUUCGCACAGUUCUCAACGGGAGAGAACGCACGACUCCAGAAGGAAACUUUGACAGAGCGCAGUCGCUAGAAAAACAUUAUUAAUAUUUUUGACAAAGCGCACUUCUCUCCAGGCACUGCUCCAUUAGCUGGCUGACAUUUUCAUUUUACAAGGCAUAAUUUGUUUGAUUUUAUUUUCCUCCUCCAAGCGUUAAAAGGACUCCCAGCCCAGACAUGCAAAUGGUCCAGCUGCCUCGUCUAUAUUUCUACAUUCUUGCAUACAUGUCAAGAAAUGGGGACGAAAAUGAGAAUUUUUUUUGGCUUGUAUCUAAUAUUUUUAUUUAACAGGUUAAAAUAAUCUUGGCUUGAGCUCAACAAUCUAGUAGCGUAACACCAAAGUUUUUGAUCUUCUUUUUAUUAUUUUAUUUUAUUGGCAGUAGAUUGAAAGAGCAGUUGUAGAGAGACAAAGAUAGCUGAAAGAGUUGUCUAAAAUGGAGAGGAAUACAUUUGAUCAUUAGCCGAAAUUGGUCAUUUUUCCUGUGUUUGCGGUACUGGAAAAGAGUACUAAAUGCUUGAGUGUUUUGUGGACUCAUCCAUUGGUAAUAGUUGGUGGCUUGUAAAGGUGAGGUAAAUAAGAUUCUCUUUUCCAUCUUAUUUUGUAAUGUCGGAUCAAGGCAGCUCGUCUUCAGUCUCUGCAAACUCAGUUCUUCAAAAAUCAUCAUGACAAAAUAUAUAGUAAAGAAGCUCUUGAGAUUAGUGCCAGUCUCGUUGAAAUCAACCCUGAAAUUUACACCGUAUGGAAUUACCGCAAGAUGGCUGUAAAAAAUAUGUUGGAAUCUGAAGCCGAUGGUGUUGCAAUUAGGGAGAUCCUUAACGGAGAACUUCGCUUGAUAUCCAAAGGAUCAAGAGGGGCCUUUGCUUGGACUUACACAAAAGAAUACUCAAAGGAGAUAGAUUGCAAAAAAUUGGAAUCGGCCAUGUAUCAUUUUAACCUUGUGUAGGUUAGAGAUGCUGGGUUAAAUAUGUAUACAGAAUGUAGAGGCACAGACAGGGUACACGAACUGUUUGACAAAAUGGGAUAUGUACAUAAUGGAUUUGGCGAUCGUCCAUUAGCAGACGACGAGCUCACUGGAGUGUAGUUUUGGAGCUCGUAUGGCGGGCUAUUGCUUGAUCUUAUUUACCAUCCCUGUACUUGUAUUUGCAGGAAUUUGCAAUUUUCAAUGAGAGAGAACGCAGAUCUCCAAAGGCAGCUGCAGGGCCGUCAAAGUGGAGUCCCCGGCCAUCGCUUGAAACAGAUGGUGAUCGCAAAAAAAAUUGCAAAAAUUAGAUUUAGGGAAAACAUACAUGUCCAAAUGCAGGGCCAUCUAGUUCCUAACAGUAGUAUGAAACAGAUGGCCCUCUAGAAGAAAGAUUUGCUGAGAUCAAAACCUAGGGAAUGUGGUUGAAGGCAAGGAAGAUAAACAAUUGUUGAUAAAAGAAUGAGUUUGCCUGCAUGCUAGAUACUUGCAAUACUUUAGGGCAUCGUUUUGUGCAUCGAUUUGUGCAAGGUUGAUUAUUAUUAAAUAAGCAUAGAGUUACUAAAGAAUACAAAAGAGGUUUUUGGAUCUGUC